GUGCCCCUGUUAAUCCCUCGGACCGCCUGACUGAGUGGCGGCUGAGUUUCAGAUGGGGCGCACAUCGCACGCCACAGAGAGAUUCGCUGACAACGCUAGCGCCUCCUUUCGGGGGUUUGCCCAUGAGUGUUAUCUGAUAGUAGCUCUCUGACAUCC
Molecule: small nucleolar RNA, 156 nt
Filed under: Chlamydomonas reinhardtii
Lineage: Eukaryota; Viridiplantae; Chlorophyta; Chlorophyceae; Chlamydomonadales; Chlamydomonadaceae
Description: CrACA01b snoRNA
Source: RNAcentral